UACAGAGGGUGCGAGCGUUGUCCGGAUUUAUUGGGCGUAAAGAGCUCGUAGGUGGCUGAGUAAGUCGGAUGUUAAAUCCCCAGGCUCAACCUGGGACACCACCCGAUACUGCUCUGGCUAGAGUCCGGUAGGGGAGCGUGGAAUUCCUGGUGUAGCGGUGAAAUGCGCAGAUAUCAGGAGGAACACCGGUGGCGAAGGCGCUGCUCUGGGCCGGUACUGACGCUGAGGAGCGAAAGCGUGGGUAGCAAACAGG
RNAcentral lists this ribosomal RNA (253 nucleotides) under uncultured bacterium. RNAcentral's name for it is "partial 16S ribosomal RNA". It matches the Rfam family "Bacterial small subunit ribosomal RNA", at positions 524 to 776 of the family's 1533-position model. The record is from RNAcentral.